Molecule: long non-coding RNA, 438 nt
Organism: Mustela lutreola (European mink)
Lineage: Eukaryota; Metazoa; Chordata; Mammalia; Carnivora; Mustelidae
Exons: 4
Source: RefSeq, a predicted model, not a curated record
GUAAAGAGUGUUAAUGAACAAUGGGUGGAGUGAGGAGAUAAGAAUUCAAAAUACACUGGUUUUUGACAAAUUACCUAGCUGGUCAAAUUUUCACAGUACCAAGAUACAAGGCCAAGUGUGCCAUCUUGUAAUUAAAUGAAGAAAAUGUGAUCUGUUCUAAUGAUGAAAUGUCACAUUGUACCUUCCUUAAGGAUUUUCAAAGAAAGGAAUCUGAAGAAAAUAAAACCAGAGCUAUAGCACAUAGGAAGGACAUCAUAAUCUACAGAGAAAAUGGCUAAAGACUUGCUUUGCUUACUGAUGAAUCCCCAGUGCCAGAAACAGUGCCUGGCACACAAGCAGGUACUCAUUAAUAAAUGGGAAAUUAAUAAAAAAUGAAAAUACAUUUAAUCCACAGGUUUUGGUCGUGGAUUAUGAAUCAGACACUCUUAAGCUCUUGAU